AGAGUUUGAUCCUGGCUUAGAUUGAACGCUGGCGGCAGGCUUAACACAUGCAAGUCGACCGUGCGAGGUUGCUUCGGUAACUGAGCUAGCGGCGGACGGGUGAGUAAAGCUUAGGAAUCUGCCUAUUAGUGGGGGACAACAUUUCGAAAGGGAUGCUAAUACCGCAUACGUCCUACGGGAGAAAGCAGGGGAUCACUUGUGACCUUGCGCUAAUAGAUGAGCCUAAGUCGGAUUAGCUAGUUGGUGGGGUAAAGGCCUACCAAGGCGACGAUCUGUAGCGGGUCUGAGAGGAUGAUCCGCCACACUGGGACUGAGACACGGCCCAGACUCCUACGGGAGGCAGCAGUGGGGAAUAUUGGACAAUGGGGGGAACCCUGAUCCAGCCAUGCCGCGUGUGUGAAGAAGGCCUUUUGGUUGUAAAGCACUUUAAGUGGGGAGGAGGCUCUCUUGGUUAAUACCUGAGAAGAGUGGACGUUACCCACAGAAUAAGCACCGGCUAACUCUGUGCCAGCAGCCGCGGUAAUACAGAGGGUGCGAGCGUUAAUCGGAUUUACUGGGCGUAAAGCGCGCGUAGGUGGUUAAUUAAGUCAAAUGUGAAAUCCCCGAGCUUAACUUGGGAAUUGCAUUCGAUACUGGGUAGCUAGAGUAUGGGAGAGGAUGGUAGAAUUCCAUGUGUAGCGGUGAAAUGCGUAG
This 693-nucleotide ribosomal RNA is filed under the name uncultured Gammaproteobacteria bacterium. Its description in RNAcentral is "bacterial SSU rRNA". It matches the Rfam family "Bacterial small subunit ribosomal RNA", at positions 8 to 693 of the family's 1533-position model. Lineage: Bacteria; Pseudomonadati; Pseudomonadota; Gammaproteobacteria. The record is from RNAcentral.